Molecule: small RNA, 564 nt
Filed under: Pongo abelii (Sumatran orangutan)
Lineage: Eukaryota; Metazoa; Chordata; Mammalia; Primates; Hominidae
Description: retained intron
Source: RNAcentral
ACCCUGUCCUCAGGAACACAUGACAGCUGGAGGCAAUUGCCAGACCUUCUCAUCUUCCACUGUCAUCUCCUACUCCAAUACGGGUGAUGGUGCCCCCAAGGUCUACCAAGAGACAUCAGAGAUGCGCUCGGCACCAGGCGGGAUCCGGGAGACACGGAGGACUGUUCGGGAUUCAGACAGUGGACUGGAGCAGAUGUCCAUUGGGCAUCACAUCCGGGACAGGGCUCACAUCCUCCAGCGCUCCCGAAACCAUCGCACGGGGGACCAGGAGGAGCGGCAGGACUAUAUCAACCUGGAUGAGAGUGAGGCCGCGGCAUUUGAUGACGAGUGGCGGCGGGAGACGUCCCGAUUCCGACAGCAGCGUCCCCUGGAGUUUCGGCGGCUUGAGUCCUCAGGGGCGGGGGGACGAAGGGCGGAGGGGCCUCCCCGCCUGGCCAUCCAGGGACCUGAGGACUCCCCUUCCCGACAGUCCCGCCGCUAUGACUGGUGAGGGCCCCGGGCCCUCAGCCUCUCUUGUAAGUAUCAGGAGUAAGGAGGGCGGGGUGCACCUGUGGACGGUCCUCG